This 301-nucleotide ribosomal RNA is filed under the name uncultured bacterium. Its description in RNAcentral is "partial 16S ribosomal RNA". It matches the Rfam family "Bacterial small subunit ribosomal RNA", at positions 509 to 807 of the family's 1533-position model. The record is from RNAcentral.
CAGUCGCCGCGGGAAUACGAAGGGGGCUAGCGUUGUUCGGAUUUACUGGGCGUAAAGGGCGCGUAGGCGGACUGAUAAGUCAGGGGUGAAAUCCCAAGGCUCAACCUUGGAACUGCCUUUGAUACUGUUUGUCUUGAGUUCGAGAGAGGUAAGUGGAACUGCGAGUGUAGAGGUGAAAUUCGUAGAUAUUCGCAAGAACACCAGUGGCGAAGGCGGCUUACUGGCUCGAAACUGACGCUAAGGCGCGAAAGCGUGGGGAGCAAACAGGAUUAGAUACCCCCGUAGUCCCUGUCUCUUAUAC